CAAACCCUGGGUACCACACUCCCUCCUUAUCUUAGGUGCCAGGCCCUUCGAAGGAGCCCGAUGAGGACAUCUAUGUGGAGUGUGAGGCCAGUCCAGCCCCGGCCCAGGCUCCUGGAGCUCCCUGCUUGAUGCUCAGCCCUGCUGUUUUAGUCCCAGCCUUUACUCAGACUCUGAGUUCCCCAGUCCUGACGGCCCCAGUCCCUCUACCAAGGAUAUCCAUGGGGCCCAGGCCCACCAUAACCCCCCAAGAAGCUCAGAAUGGAGCAUCAAAGGCCACCUCUGAAGGUGAGUAUGAGCACUACCAGCAUGGAUCCAUGCACUCACGUGGGGCCCUCCCUAGCCACAGCCCUGCAGGCCACAGACUGUCUCCCAGCCCGCCUGCACCCUGCUUGGUUGAGGGGGUCCCUGCAGCUCUGACUCCAGCUGAGAGCAGGUCUGAGAGGACCCACCCUGGGCACUUUCCAGGGUCUGCACCAAAUCGGGAAGCUCCCAGUCUGUACCUUAACAUCAC
Molecule: long non-coding RNA, 511 nt
Filed under: Bos mutus (wild yak)
Lineage: Eukaryota; Metazoa; Chordata; Mammalia; Artiodactyla; Bovidae
Description: lncRNA (ENSBMUG00000025551.1)
Source: RNAcentral